CACUUUAUAACACACUGCUGUUUACCGCGGUACAAACCCAGCAAACACAAUGAAUCUCUUCAGCGGCUUCAUCUGGAUUCUCACAGCUUUUAUUCCAGCGUCCAGAGGAAUCACUGUGACUCAGCCUGAACGUCUAACUGUUCCUGAAGGACAAAACGCCAGAAUAGAGUGUAAAACUGAUCCUGGAAUAGAUGGCUGGGGUUUAGCUUGGUAUCAGCAGAAACAUGGAGAAACUCCUAAACUCAUCAUUACUGGAGUAAAUGAUCUCCAUGAUAGGAGUUUCAGUCGAUUCAGUGGGGAUGGAAGAUCUGGAGGAACAGAUUUCACUCUGAGCAUCAGUGGAGUCCAGACUGAAGAUGCUGGACAUUAUUACUGUAUGAGCAGACACAUCAUCAACAGUAACUAUGUGUUGACACAUGAUUCUGGAUUCAGUGUUUGUGGACUGCAGCUCUUCAUCUUUAUCUGUUUGCUCAGAGGCGAAACGCUCAUGUCUGAGUCGGCUUUCUCCAAAGCUUUCUUCUGUAUCUCCAUCAGUUUUGCUUCAUCAUCUCCAUCACAGAUUGUGUUGUUUGGUUGA
Molecule: non-coding RNA, 577 nt
Organism: Danio aesculapii
Lineage: Eukaryota; Metazoa; Chordata; Actinopteri; Cypriniformes; Danionidae
Source: the annotation of a RefSeq genome assembly